AAAUGAAUAGACGGGACCCCGCACAAGCGGUGGAUCAUGUUGUUUAAUUCGAAGAUACGCGAAGAACCUUACCAGGUCUUGACAUCCCCUGCAAUACUAUAGAGAUAUAGUGGAGGUUACCAGGGUGACAGGUGGUGCAUGGUUGUCGUCAGCUCGUGUCGUGAGAUGUUGGGUUAAGUCCCGUAACGAGCGCAACCCUCGUUGCUAGUUGCCAUCAUUAAGUUGGGGACUCUAGCGAGACUGCCAGUGAUAAACUGGAGGAAGGUGGGGAUGACGUCAAAUCAUCAUGCCCCUUAUGACCUGGGCUACAAACGUGAUACAAUGGCUGGAACAAAGGGAAGCGAAGGAGCGAUCUGGAGCAAAACCUCUAAAAACAGUCUCAGUUCGGAUUGAAGUCUGCAACUCGACUUCAUGAAGCUGGAAUCGCUAGUAAUCGUGGAUCAGAACGCCACGGUGAAUACGUUCUCGGGGUUUGUACACACCGCCCGU
RNAcentral lists this ribosomal RNA (489 nucleotides) under uncultured bacterium. RNAcentral's name for it is "bacterial SSU rRNA". It matches the Rfam family "Bacterial small subunit ribosomal RNA", at positions 903 to 1397 of the family's 1533-position model. The record is from RNAcentral.